AUCUAUAAGAGGUGAAGAGUUAAUGGUGACUUCCCCCAUAUUUGCAGUUUGGGGGAAGUCACUGCUCACGCUAGGGUGAGACUUUUCAGUGGUGAAGCUCUUUGGGGGCUACCUACAUCCUUCAAAGAACCUCUGGCUUGUGCUUCUGUAGUUCUCUCAAUAGACUCAUUGGAUCACUGAGCUAGACUUGGGCACAAUCAUAACUUUGGUCCCUGGUUUCAGCCUAUCUGGAGUGAACAAACAUUCAUUUGUGAAUUCCCAGGAAAAAUAACGCAACAGGCAGCGAGCAUCAGACAACUGUAUUCCGGCACAUUCUGGAUUGUUCCAAACCUUUCAGCCUUAGAUAUUACUUGAAGCUGCUUAGUGAUUCCUAUCACGUCAUGGUUUUUCAUUUCUUGGCAAAUAUAUUACUUACACUUUGCACUGCAAGUAACGGCUUAUCCACAAUACCCUAACGGAAAAAAAAAGGAAUUUUUUUUUAAAUGGAAAAGUGGGAAGAAAGCCUGUGCAUUCUCCAUUUCCCUGGAGUUUUCAGGGUUGCUUCCCUUCUUCUUCUCACCGAAGAGGGCGAGAUCAGAAAGAUCAUGGCAGAUGCUCUGGCACUCAGGGCUCACAUUGAACUUGGAGCUCAUGAACUACACCUGUUCUGCCAGCCCCUGGCAUACGCCUGUCUCUGCCUGCAAGCACUGGACCACAGACAUGCGCUUGACCAUCAGACUUUUCCCAUGAGCGAGAAGGACCCAGACUCCACACUCCACUGAGCCACCUCUUCUCUUCCAUUCCUCAUGGGAGCCUCAAAAGACUCGAGUGCUAAGAUAUCAAAUAAAAUAAGACGGUUAAAGAGAAGGUGGAUAUGGGCCACUGUCAUCCUGGUAUUUGUGGAAACCAGAGGGUAAGGGAUCCUGGAGAGCUGGAGUUACAGGUGGUGUGAGCUGACAGCAAUCAUGUAACAUGUCUGGUUAUGAUGGACUAGGCACAGAACCAGAGUGGUCUGUAUCCCUGAGCUGCUAAGAGAACUAUGAUUCGGCUUCUGUUAACCAAGCACCAGCUUGAACUAUGAAUAAAACUGUAUUGCUUUAAAGGA
This is a long non-coding RNA of Rattus norvegicus (Norway rat), 1084 nucleotides long. RefSeq lists it as uncharacterized. NCBI's taxonomy places the organism in Eukaryota, Metazoa, Chordata, Mammalia, Rodentia, Muridae. The record is from RefSeq and is a predicted model, not a curated record.